Molecule: ribosomal RNA, 433 nt
Filed under: uncultured Anaerovorax sp.
Lineage: Bacteria; Bacillati; Bacillota; Clostridia; Peptostreptococcales; Anaerovoracaceae
Description: partial 16S ribosomal RNA
Rfam family: Bacterial small subunit ribosomal RNA
Source: RNAcentral
ACGGAAGGCAGCAGUGGGGAAUAUUGCACAAUGGAGGAAACUCUGAUGCAGCAACGCCGCGUGAAGGAUGAAGGUCUUCGGAUCGUAAACUUCUGUCCUUGGGGAAGAUAAUGACGGUACCUUUGGAGGAAGCCCCGGCUAACUACGUGCCAGCAGCCGCGGUAAUACGUAGGGGGCAAGCGUUAUCCGGAAUUAUUGGGCGUAAAGAGUGCGUAGGUGGUUACCUAAGCAGGGGGUGAAAGGCAUUGGCUUAACCAAUGUUAGCCCCCUGAACUGGGCUACUUGAGUGCAGGAGGGGAAAGCGGAAUUCCUAGUGUAGCGGUGAAAUGCGUAGAUAUUAGGAGGAACACCAGUGGCGAAGGCGGCUUUCUGGACAGUUACUGACACUGAGGCACGAAAGUGUGGGGAGCAAACAGGAUUAGAUACCCUGGUA